Molecule: long non-coding RNA, 801 nt
Organism: Canis lupus familiaris (dog)
Lineage: Eukaryota; Metazoa; Chordata; Mammalia; Carnivora; Canidae
Exons: 3
Source: RefSeq, a predicted model, not a curated record
CGCCGCGAGAGGGACGGGUGGGGUUGAGGGUGCAGAUGGCUGCGUCUGGAAAGGACUCGGCCCUGAAGAGCCCCAGGGUCAGCCUCCCGCGGCCGGCAGCGGAGGAACUUAACCCUACCUCACAGCGCAGCCAAGGCCCGCUCCCCACACGAGCCCGUGGAGAAAAUCCAGCAGACUGAGUGCCGGAGGCCUUCGUCACUGCUGAACGUCAAAAAGGGUCAUUUUGAUGACAGGACGCUGACCUCACCCGUGGGGGGUGAGCUUCACACGCCGGAGGAUGUUGUUCUCAAACCCGUGGAGGUCACAGAGGCCGAGUUUUCUCUCUUAAAACUCUCACCUCGCGAAUACGCCCUUCCCAGGUCCUGAUCUCCGGGCCCACGGAUGACCCCACACACACACACACGGGCUGCGUUCACCUCAGAUUUGAAAGCGUUUCCUAGUCCACUGCACGUGACCAGUCUAAAUAGCCAGAGAUAACGUGAACCCGUGUGAGUUACAUCCGAGUUUUAAAAUAAUGCAUCCGUGAGUGUCUGUCAUUGCUUUAAGGCGCUACAUGGAAACUUUGACGAAGCCGAGCAUAGGGUACCGGAAGCUACCAGGUGAUUCGCUGUGAGUUUUAACUGGGCCAUCAAGGUCUGUUGUAAAGGGGAAAAAAAACAGGAGGGAGAAGACAAGAACUAGCCAGGUGCCAGGCAUCCCAAAAACCUGAUCCUGAGACAAAAUUCCAUAGAUAAUUACUCUGGAAGAGGAGACACUUGGAGGGUGAGAUGUAUGGAAUCACUAACUCUUUUAACCAAACAA